Molecule: ribosomal RNA, 253 nt
Filed under: uncultured bacterium
Lineage: Bacteria
Description: partial 16S ribosomal RNA
Rfam family: Bacterial small subunit ribosomal RNA
Source: RNAcentral
UACGUAGGGUCCAAGCGUUAAUCGGAAUUACUGGGCGCAAAGCGUGCGCAGGCGGUGAUGUAAGACAGGUGUGAAAUCCCCGGGCUUAACCUGGGAACUGCAUUUGUGACUGCAUUGCUGGAGUGCGGCAGAGGGGGAUGGAAUUCCGCGUGUAGCAGUGAAAUGCGUAGAUAUGCGGAGGAACACCGAUGGCGAAGGCAAUCCCCUGGGCCUGCACUGACGCUCAUGCACGAAAGCGUGGGGAGCAAACAGG